This 60-nucleotide transfer RNA is filed under the name Otolemur garnettii (small-eared galago). It matches the Rfam family "tRNA", at positions 7 to 64 of the family's 71-position model. From Rfam's summary of the family: Transfer RNA (tRNA) molecules are approximately 80 nucleotides in length. Lineage: Eukaryota; Metazoa; Chordata; Mammalia; Primates; Galagidae. The record is from Rfam by way of RNAcentral.
GUGGCUCAGUGAGUAGGGUGCUGGCCCCAUAUGCCAGAGGUGGUUGGUUCAAACCCAGCC